UCGCUGGUGGGGAUGUUGCUGGCCAUGACGCUGGCGAGGCGCUCGCACUGGCGGUCCAGCGUGCCGACCCACCGCCGCGCGCCGAACGCCAGCCCGGAGUUCACCAGCAGCUUGUAGAUGUUGUGCACCGACCUGUCGUCCACCUCCACAUGCUCCACCCACCUGAUGAUGGUCACCUUGGAGUAGCCAUUGGGCAUUUCUUGGAUGAGGCAGCCUGACGGACGGCGGCGACAUUUGAGGACGGGGCUAGGGCGGAGGCUGUCCAGCGAGACGUCGACGACGGCCCAUGUCCCGUCUGCGUUCUGCUUGCAGUAUCUCACGAAGUAGCUCUCUCUCGUUGGCACCAGUGGCGAUGGCACCUGAAACUCCACUGACAUC
RNAcentral lists this small RNA (378 nucleotides) under Oryza sativa Japonica Group (Japanese rice). Its description in RNAcentral is "sRNA Os04g0627066". The record is from RNAcentral. Lineage: Eukaryota; Viridiplantae; Streptophyta; Magnoliopsida; Poales; Poaceae.